AGCAAGAGAAAAUGAGGGGUAUGGAGUAAGUUAAAGGAAUCAGUUCAGUGCUGGAGAAGCAAUGGAGUCUGCCCCUCGCUUACGUGGGGUAGGAUAGUGACUGAGAAAACCAGAACUAAAGAAUGGACACACAGACUCAGUGCAUGCCCAGUUCUGAAAUGUAAGUCCACAGACCCGGAAAGGGUCUAGGGACAAUGCAACUGCCAAAUAAUAUUUGGACAUUUAGCUGGUCUCCACCACUGACGUUUGUACUGAAGGGCAAUCUGCCCCAGGACAAACCAGUGGUUUUCUGUGAGUGUGGGCUAAUGGCCCCAAUUCAGUCACUGCCACUCUACUACAGGGACAAAGACACAGACAAAGAAAACACAAUAGAAACAAGUCUUUAAGAACCAGAAAGAGGCAUUGUACUUAAAAACACUUGAUAAAACAAGAAAGUUCAGCAUCUUAUUAAACAGUAACCUUUGGAGACAGCUCUCUUCCAUACAACCCCCGUGCCCCCAGCUUCCUGUACUGACAAAAGCCAAGUGGAAAUCCCAGAAAGAGAUUCCUAAGUGUUAAACUGCAUGCUGUCUGCACGGCACACUGGCACCUUGGGCUGUCCGGCUCUGUCCCACCUGGAAUAUGUGUCACUUCUUUUUAAUCGGUAUAGCCAAGGGCUUACUUAAUCCAUUAAGUCUCAGGCUGCCCUGUGAGCCCACAAUGUAACUGAAGAUGACCGUGAAUCUCUGAUCCUCUUGCCUCUACCUCCCAAAUACUGGGAUUGCAGAUGUAUAUCAUCACCCUCAGGUUAUGUGGUACUCGGGAUAGAAGCAAGGCUUCAUGCAUGCGAGGUUACCACUCUGCCAACUGAGCUACAAUCCCCAGCUAAGCUUCUGCAUGGGAGUGUAUGGGGACACACACAGCAGACACAGCCAUCAGUACCAUCUGACAUUGGCUGGUCUUGGAUCAUCCCCUAGAGGACAAGGAAUACAUUUAUCACACACCACUCUGCAUGUGGUAAAUGCUUAAGCUGGGAAUAGUAAGGACGGCUGACACCUUGAAGAAAAGCCCUCUUGCCACGGCUCGGAGAUGAACUUCCUGACCAAAGACUACUCUCCUAUUUGACAAUGGUUGACCAGUGGCUGCAUUUGAACUCAGGUUUAUGGCACAACGGAGCAGAAAACAAAGUGAAUUUGGGGCUUGCAGGAAAACCAUAAGGUACACAUGUGGGUGGUGAUAAAAUCUGAGCUUUUAAGGAAAAAUUAAAAUUUGGGAAAAAUUUACCAACCAGUGUGUGAGACUGCUGGGUUCCUAAUAUUUCCAGAUCUCCGAUGAAUGUGACUUUUGAUAACCUAGUGAUUCAUAUCUCCCAAAUGACAACGAUAAGUGGGUAAGAGAUUCAAAGCACAAACCAGAGACUGAUGUCAGCGCCAAGAGAACACAAAGUUCAUUGGUGCAGCGUCUGAUUUCUCACUGCAACCUUUAAGAAACUGCUCUUCGUCAAGUUGGGGGUUAAAUAUAAAAAGAGAAAAUUAUGCCCAUAAUUAUCUGUCAUGAGCCAUUUCCCUCCCAAAAAUCAUUAUAGGAACCAUCACCUCGGGGAGUCUGCAGAGAACCCCACACCCAUAAUUAUGUUAAGAAUCAUUCUACUGACAAAACCUGCCCCACACCCAAUUAGCUGUUAUCUGUUAGUGGAACCUGCCUCACAUUCCAGCUAUCCAGGGAACUAGGUGUGGCAACUCGUGACUUCUUGGCCUACCUGACCAAAGGUAACCUCCUGGCCUACGUGACCUGGACCAUGUGACAAGAGUCCAGGCCCCUGUGCCCCCCCCAUUCCUUACCCUAUCUAUAUAAACUGUAACCUGUCCCUAAUAAACGAAGGCUGUGACAAACUUAGCAUGGCCUUCUCCUUAUUUCCUAGCCCAUUCUCUUCCAGAUAGCGCCCCUCCGUGACCCUGGAAUAACUGAUUGCAGGGUGGGUUACAACCCCUAGACUGAGUGACCCACCCAACGCAAUCGACAAUUAUCUGAAAAACUUCGUUGUCUCCCAACUACGUAUCUGUUUAAAGUCAGGUUUUCUUCAAACGUUUCAAAAAGAAUGUAUUUUAACAGAUUGGCAACAGAAACAGACACCAGAAUCCAGCUGGCAUUUAUUAAUGCAGACCUUGUACAGGCUCGUGAAAAUACAAUACCACACUUCGCACUGAAUUUUUGUUUGAAAACAGUUAUUUUUGAGCCAGGCAUGGCAGUGCACGCCUGUAACAUCAGCACUUGAGAAAUGGGAGAAGGGUCAGCAGUUCAAGGUCAUUCUCAGUAGAAUACUGAGUUUGAAGCCAGCAAGCCACGGGAACCCUGUAUUUAAGAAACUAAGAACAGGGACAGCUCUGAGGACAAAAGCUCUUGCACAUGAGUCUGGUGAUGUAAGCUCCACCCCAGAACUCUGUGUAAAAAAAGAACUGACUCCCCAAAGUUGUUCUCUAACCUCCAUACUCACACGUGCACACCCACACGUGCACACUCACACAUGCACACACACACAUGCGCAUGCACAGACACACACACACAAAAUAAAACUGAAAGAAAAGGAGGCACACAGCUGCCUGAACUCCAGUUCCAGAGGAUAUGGCGCUCUCUCCUGGCCAUGGCAGGCACUGCGCAUAAAUAAAUCUGCUUAAAAAUGUAAUGAAUUUAAUGUCUGUUGCAGUCUAUUAUUCUUUUCUUUUACAUUCUGUUUUAUUUGGUGUGUGUGUGUCUGUGUGUUUGCCUGCAUGUAUGUCUGUGUAUCGCAUGUGAUCUAGGAAGUGGUGAGCUUCCAUGUGAGUGGAGGGAAUCAACCCAGGUCCUUUGCAGGAACAAGUGCUCUUAACCACUGAGCCAACUCUCCAUUCCACUUCAUCUCAUCACUAAAUCUCUCCCAUCAUUCUCUAGUGGUGCGGUGAUGGAAUCCAGGGCUUCGCAUAUGCAAAGCAAGAACUUACCCUUGAAUCUCUCUUCACAGCCCUGCAACUAAAUAUUUGAAAAACUAUACUUUCAGUAUCUAUUAUGGCAAAUAUUGAGAAACACAGGCCUGUCAGGUGUGAUGGUGCAUACCAGCACUUGUAAUCCCAGCACGUGGGAGGCAAGCAUAUCUGAAUUCAAGGCAGCCUGUUCCACAUUGUGAGUUCUAGGACAGCCAGAGCUAUGCAGUGAGACCCGUCUCAAAACAACAAACGAAAAAGACAAAUAUAUCCCAGAUAAACAUAUGGGUUUUUUGGUGUCAAUAAUUUAUAAACUAUAAUGGGGCCAUUAAAAGCACAGGUGGUGGAGCGGGGAGGAAGCUUGCUCGAUGGUGGAGAGCAUUUGCUGCUCUUACAGAGGAUACGAUCCUUUAGCUUCCAGCACCAACACGAGGCAACACAAGCUCCCAUAACUCUGGUUACAGGGAAACCAACGCCCUCUUCCGACCAUUUGGGCACUGCACAGCACACACACGGUACACAUGCACACUUACAGACACUCACAUGUACAACACAGUACACAUGCACACUUGCAGGCACUCACACGUACACACACAGUACACAUGCACACUUCCAGGCACUGCACAGCACACACACACGGUACACAUGCACACUUGCAGGCACUGCACAGCACACAGUACACAUGCAUACUUGCAGGCACUGCACAGCACACAUGGUACACAUGCACACUUGCAGGUACUGCACAGCACACAUACACAGUACACAUGCACACUUGCAGGUACUGCAUAGCACACACACGGUACACAUGCACACUUGCAGACACUGCACAGCACACACACAGUACUGAUGUGGGAGUGUCAUAUAUCAAUCUGUUGAUUUCAUUGGUUAAGUAAUAAACACACUGCUUGGCCUCAUAGGUUAAAGCAUUGGUGGGAGGAGUAAACAGAAUAGAAUUCUGGGCGGAAGAGGAAGUGAGGUCAGACUCUGCUCUGCUUCCAGAGGGACCGGACAGCUCUGCUCUCUGGAGCAGAGACGCCAUGCUCUGCUCUCCCAGGCAGCUCCAACCCACAAUGAACUUAGGCUAGAAUCUUCCCGGUAAACGCACCUUGGGGUGCUUACACACAUUACUAGAAAUGGGCUAGUCCAGGUGCGAGAGUUAGCCUAGAAGAGGCUAGAUAGAAAUGGGUCAAGCAGUUAAAUGAAUACAGUUUGUGUGUUGUUAUUUUGAGCAUAAGCUAGCCAAGCGGCCGGGGUGUUGGGGACACAGCCCUGCCGCCGCUCUUAUUUCAACAGGCAUGUUGUACAUGGAUCCUAUAACUCAUGGGCAUCACGGCACAAAUCUAUCUUAGAAAUACCAGGAUAUUGUGAUUUUACUACACUAUGCCUGCUUACUGUGUUGUGGUGAAUAGGCUCUCUAGGCUUAGAAGCUUGAAGUUCUAGGUUUGACUCCAGCCUAGAACCUUUCUUUGAGAUAGAAGAGGCCUCUGCAUGAAAGGACACCACCUCAGAACUUGGGUGUAAGACUCUAAUUUUCUAUUCCAGUUUUCUUUUAGCCUCAGCAAUAUCAGCCUCUCCACUCCCACCUGGGGAAGGUAGCUCAUAGGUUGGUCCCUCUGAAUAGCCAGCCCUUCCAGGGACCAUUUCCUGAACGCCUCUGCUUGCGCUUUCACACACCAUUUUCAGAACGUGGAUUUCUUCCAGCAGGAAUGGACAGGAACUCUUUGAGAGCAGGAUGGUGUGCUGACUCGGAGGUGCUGGGAAAGUGUCCUUGGGUCAACAGUAAAUCCUGUCCCCACCAGUAAGGGACCAGUGCUUGAUAAGUCAACUAGAAAUCGGUCCCCAGAAACAAACCCCGCUGGCAAACAUGGAAGCUCUAGGACUUUUGGAGAGCCAUGGUGGUACUGUGGAGAUGAAGGGAAGUGGCCAAGGAUGGCACAAACAUGUGUGCUGUUCUGUUUUACUAAAAGAGAAAACACCCAACAGUACCCACAAUGUGGUAAAAAUGCAGAAGCACAGAGCAUCAGGGCCACAAUCUGCAAGCGGCCAUCGUGACAAAGAAGAGCCCGAAAUGUGGCAGGAGAAAGUGUGAGCUGAAAAGCCUUCAUUCAGUCAGCAAUGCGGCUCUACCUCGGAGCCUCCUGGAAUUGGCCUGAGCCCCGUGGGACCCGUGGGACCUGUGGGGUCUGUGGGACCCAUGGGUGUUACAUGUAAGAAAUAACUGCCAUACACCACAAAGGCAACAUUCCAUAUUCCCAAGUAAAGUAAUGCACUCCCAACAGAGUUCAUUCGUGAGUUUUCCUAAGCCUUCAUGCUCAGUAGUCUCCAAUACAGAGGAGAGUUCUAUACAGUAUCAGCCCUUCUGAUGCCCUAAGCCAGUGGUUCUCAACAUGGGGGACUCAACCCCCACGGGGUGGCAUAUCAGAUAUUUACAUUAUGAUUCAUAAUAGUAUCCAGAAUACAGCUAUGAAGUAGCAAUAGAAUAAUUUUGCAGUUGGGGGACUCCACUAUCUGAGUAAAGGGUCAUAGGAAGAUUGAGAAGCACAGCCCUAGGCCCAUAUCUGUAAAGCCUUUUUCAUUUUUCUCCUAGGGAAAAAUGUUAUUCUUGGCCAUUAAAUAUUCCUAGAGGUAAAAGUCACAGUGGCCCCCAAUCCCUGCUGGUCCCUGAGCAUCCACUACAGGCCAGAGAUCCCAGUCAGUUGUCUCUCAUCUUUGUAACGACCUUGUAAAGGAGGAAUCUCAUUGUGAAAACAAGAUGAAAUUUGAGAGUAUUGAUGUGGCUAUCCUUGGGUCUCACUUCAAAAUCACUAAGACUGACUUUCAUAUCUCAACUCUGCAGGAGUCGAACGUGAAUGAUAAAACACCCCUCUAGUGUCCACAGUGAUGUCACAGUGAUGUCAAGCCCUAUCAUUAUGUUAUGCUUGAGGGGCUGAUUUAAAACAGCAAGUACUAUUAGAGAUGGGCAGCAUGGGUAAGGAAAACACAUACAAAAGAAGCCAAAUAAUAGCUGGGUGUGGCUGGGCCCACCUGUAGUUUCACCCAUUUGGAGCCUGAAGCAGAGGAUGGCAUGGGCCCCGGAGUUCAAGGACUCGACUUGAGGGGUGCUGAUCAUGGGCUGUGCAGAUUCCUCCUACAGAUCUUUCACAAAAGUUUCUUUUUUUUUUCUUUUUUUUUAUUUUUGUCCCCCUCACUUAGUUCAGAAGUUCAUCUCUGCUGGAGAUUACUCUUUUGUUUAAGGCUAACACAAAGAAGAAAAGUGAGUGUUGGGCAUCGGACACCUGAGUGUGAGUAGAGGUUAGUCAAGUUUGGUCUUCCCUGUCAACAGGGAAGGUCACUAGCAGCCAGUGUGAGCAGUAGGAUGGAGAUGUGGGAUUCCCCUCUGGAUGCUGUGAAUACCAUUGGUUAAUAAAGAAACUGUCUUGGGCCUGCACACGGAAUAAACGUAGGUGGGGAAAACUAAAUUGAAUGCUGGGAGGAAGAAGGCAGAGUCAAAGAGAAGCCUUGUAGCCCCACCGGAGAACAGAUGCUGGAACUUUAGCAUCAAUGCAUUUGGCAAACUAUCUUCUAAAUGUGGUUAAGAUCCCCUGAAGCUAGAGUUAAGGACAAUGGCAAGCCACAUGGAGGUUCUGAAAAUGGAACCCUGGGUAUCUGGAAGAGCAACCAGUGGUCUUAACCACUGAAUUAUCUCCUCAGACCUAAAAGAACUUUAAAAAAUGACUUAGACUGGGUGGUGGCACACGCCUUUAAUCCCAGCACUCGGGAGGGAGACAGAAGCAGGUGGAUCUCUAUGAGUUUGAGGUCAGCCUGGUCUACAAGAGCUAGUUCCAUGACAGGCACCAAAGCCACACAAAGAAACCUUGCCUUGAAAAACAGAAAACAAAACAAAUCAACAAAACAUUUAGAAGAUAGUUUGCCAAGAGCACUGAUGCUUAAAAGAUAAACCUAUGUCUGGGGUGUGCCAUCUCUCCUCAACUCAUUAGCAGUCCCUUUCUUACUCAAGGUGUUCACAGUUCAGCAUCCUCAGAUUACUGCAAACAGGAGGUGGCUUUAGACAACAGAAACAUUCUCUAAGAACUGUGGAGGAUGGACGUCUGAUGUCAACAUGACCACACUCUAUCUGAAGGCUUUAGACAAGCACCAACUCCUCGACCAUCUUGAUGGCCACCCAAACCCCUAUGUAGCUCUCUGCCUCUAUCACCACCACAUCCCAUGUGUGGGUCUCAGUGCCAAGUCCCCCCUGUGUAUUACAGGAACAUCAUUCAGGACCAAGAAUUCUGACUAACAAUAACAUAUCAAAACAAAAUUUUCAUCCAAAUAUUUCCAGAAGGAUCUAGAAAGAACCUAACCUCAAAACAAUUUCAUGAAAGUAACUGCUAUUAGACCAUUAACUAUGACAGGUCAUUAAAUAUUGACUGCCAAGUCUUCCUUGCUAUAAAUAUUUUAUAUAAAUGACCGGGUGAAGUUCUUUUAUAAAUAAUAACAUCAGGACAAUUUGAAAUUUUAUUCAUUAGUUUAAGCAUUACAGCUGGGAUGGAAAAGGAUCCUGGCAGUCAGGGGCCAAAGAGUGCCACAAAGUCUCUAUAAGCUCAGCAGCUUAUGGCCUCGCUCUAGCGCUGCCCCAGCAGGGGAGAGCUUCCCCAGCUAAGUUGUUACAGUUCUGCUCAGGUCCCUGGAAACUGUUACAGUCCUGCUCUGCUCUGGUUCCGGUAAAAAGUUACUACUAUGCACCUUUCUAUUCUGGCGAAAGAAGGUCUCACCCAGACCGCAUUUAACUGAUUUAUUAGGAGUAAAGAAUCCAGGAGAGUGGCUGCCUUUACCGGGUAGAAAAAUCAGCUGCCAACUGAGCAGGCACAGGGCUUGUACAGGACUUCUUAGGGGUGGAGUUUUUCUAGGGUAAAGAUUUUCAAGGUGUGAAUUGAUUAGAUUUCAACCCCUGAGGUUGGGCAAGCUCAGAGAUUGGCUGGAUUUCAUGCUCAGGGAUUGGUCAAUCUUGUGAUCUGGGAUUGAUUGGUUUUCCUGUUCAGGGAUUGGUUGGUUUUCAUACUGAAUUGGUCAUGGGCAGACUGUUUCUUUGGCUCUGAUUUCAGAGACAAAAUGUUUUAUUCACUGACCCUUUUUAACCUUUGACUCUAGUUUCAGGACCAAGGUGUGUUUCUUUCACUAGCUCUGGUUCCAGGGCGAGGGUGGUUUUCUUUGGCUGGCCCUUUUACCCUACAAUCAAUGUCUAGAGAUUAGAAAAAGACAUUCAAAUUACUUUUAAAGAUCAUAGUUCAGAGGAUUUUACAGGAAAAAAUAAAAUAAUUUAAAUAUUG
This is a long non-coding RNA of Alexandromys fortis (reed vole), 8245 nucleotides long. RefSeq lists it as uncharacterized. Lineage: Eukaryota; Metazoa; Chordata; Mammalia; Rodentia; Cricetidae. The record is from RefSeq and is a predicted model, not a curated record. The transcript has 2 exons.